GCAGGCGUGGUGGUGCGAGCCUGUAAUCCAGCUACUCAGGAAGCUGAGGCUGGCGGAUCGCUUGAGCUCAGGAGUUCUGGGCUAAGUUGGCCAUGCUGAUCAGGUGUCUGCACUAUGUUCGGCAUCUAUAUGAUGAUCCCCUGGGAGCUGGGGGCCACUGGGUUGCCUAGGGAGGGGUGAACUAGCCAAGGUCAGAGCUGGAGCAGGUCUAAAACCCUAUGCAAAUCAAUAGUGGGAUACUUAUACUAAGCAUGGCUAGGUGUAAGCAUGAUUGAAAAUAAAUUCUUUAACAUCAU
Molecule: signal recognition particle RNA, 296 nt
Filed under: Pogona vitticeps (central bearded dragon)
Lineage: Eukaryota; Metazoa; Chordata; Lepidosauria; Squamata; Agamidae
Description: Metazoan signal recognition particle RNA (ENSPVIG00000005408.1)
Rfam family: Metazoan signal recognition particle RNA
About the family: The signal recognition particle (SRP) is a universally conserved ribonucleoprotein.
Source: Rfam by way of RNAcentral